This 402-nucleotide long non-coding RNA is filed under the name Helianthus annuus (common sunflower). Its description in RNAcentral is "sRNA HanXRQr2_Chr12g0535971". Lineage: Eukaryota; Viridiplantae; Streptophyta; Magnoliopsida; Asterales; Asteraceae. The record is from RNAcentral.
GCAAUUUUAGAAGAUUACGGCAGUUUCUUCAACCCAAAAUUGUCCUCCACGUUCUCUGAGCAUCACAGUUCUCUCCCUCUCAAGAACUAAUUCGAAAGCCAAACUAAAUGCCGAGGACGAGUUGCAGUGAUCAGCUCGAUUUCAAAAGGCGGAGCUCUGAAACCAUUUGAUAUCCUUGUCGGGUGCUUUCAAUUACACUAGAAGAUAAUAUGGUUUUGCUAUUCUUAGAUGAACACAAACGGAUCAAUUUGACCGUUUGAGUACCAGAGAUUUUGUGUAACUGUGUUACUAAUAAAGACUAUGAGGCAAUCUCAAUAUGGAUGAGGCAGCUCAAGAGAUUGGUAAGAAGACAUCUAAUAUGCUUUUGUAGGUUCACAUGAUCCUUUUAAUCAUUUUUAGUUU